GACGUAGGGGGCGAGCGUUGUCCGGAUUCAUUGGGCGUAAAGCGCGCGCAGGCGGCCCGGUAAGUCGGAUGUGAAAUCCCACGGCUCAACCGUGGAGCUGCAUUCGAUACUGUCGGGCUAGAGGCAGGUAGGGGAGAUCGGAAUUCCUGGUGUAGCGGUGAAAUGCGCAGAUAUCAGGAGGAACACCGGUGGCGAAGGCGGAUCUCUGGGCCUGUCCUGACGCUCAGGCGCGAAAGCUAGGGGAGCGAACAGG
Molecule: ribosomal RNA, 253 nt
Filed under: uncultured bacterium
Lineage: Bacteria
Description: partial 16S ribosomal RNA
Rfam family: Bacterial small subunit ribosomal RNA
Source: RNAcentral